CACGGAAGGCAGCAGUGAGGAAUUUUGGACAAUGGGCGCAAGCCUGAUCCAGCCAUUCCGCGUGAGUGAAGAAGGCCUUCGGGUUGUAAAGCUCUUUCGCAAGGGAAGAACACUUAGCCGCUAACAUUGGCUGAGGUUGACGGUACCUUGAUAAGAAGCACCGGCUAACUACGUGCCAGCAGCCGCGGUAAUACGUAGGGUGCGAGCGUUAAUCGGAAUUACUGGGCGUAAAGCGUGCGCAGGCGGCCUUGAAAGUCAGAUGUGAAAUCCCCGAGCUCAACUUGGGAACUGCGUUUGAAACUCCAAGGCUAGAAUAUGUCAGAGGGGGGUAGAAUUCCACGUGUAGCAGUGAAAUGCGUAGAGAUGUGGAGGAAUACCAAUGGCGAAGGCAGCCCCCUGGGAUAAUAUUGACGCUCAUGCACGAAAGCGUGGGGAGCAAACAGGAUUAGAUACCCCGGUAGU
Molecule: ribosomal RNA, 462 nt
Filed under: uncultured bacterium
Lineage: Bacteria
Description: bacterial SSU rRNA
Rfam family: Bacterial small subunit ribosomal RNA
Source: RNAcentral